RNAcentral lists this long non-coding RNA (15979 nucleotides) under Carica papaya (papaya). Its description in RNAcentral is "long non-coding RNA (CPAP_LNC012513)". Lineage: Eukaryota; Viridiplantae; Streptophyta; Magnoliopsida; Brassicales; Caricaceae. The record is from RNAcentral.
CCCACCGCCGCGCUGGAGCAAUCUCCGACCAUCAAAAAAGGUAAAAAAAAAAUUUAUUCGCUCGAAAUUUGAUUUUGAACACCUUUAUAGUCAAAUUGGAGCAAAAAGAUCAACGAAUGAGCCAGAAAUUGCGGUUAAAGUCUCGCGCCGCUGCCGCGGAAAAAAUAAAAAAACGCCUCCGAUGAGCCCCUUUACGAUUUCCAUUUCGUGCGAUUUUUUCACCAUUGUAAUCACCAUUCUGUUUUCUACAGAUUGACCGAAGGAAAACACCCAACCGCGAAGGUGAGCCUGCGGAGCCGCCACACCGAAAAAUUUUAUCACCGGUUAGUUUUUAUUUUUUGACUUUUUUGGCCAAUUGAUGCCCCUAAACGUGUUUUCUCGCAUGGAUGAAUAUAAAAUCGAUCAAAAUCAACCUAAAAUGACCGAAAUCAAUCAAAACUGGCCGAAAACAGCCAGUCCAAGGCAAAAUGCUGCCGCGGGCGACGAUGUCGUCGCUGGAGCAUGACGAUGCUGCCAUGUCAAAAUUUCAAAAUUGGCCGAAAAAUAUUUUUAACAAUAAUUUUAGAUUUUUGGGAUAUUUUUAGAUAUUUAAAACGUGUUUUAAUCUCUGAAGAAAAAUUCAAAAAAUUCAGGAAUCAGCAAUAGGUGCAGCUGAAAGUUUAGUAUUUCAAAUACCGAUUCAUGUAAGAUUCUCUCACCUUAUUCUCUGUUAUCGAAUUGAAGUUUAAUUAUAAAUAAUACGGUAUUUUGCAUAAUUUAGAAAACUUCGAUAAUUAAUUACAAGUUAUAAUGGAGAUAGAAUCCGUUAUUUAUUACUGUUUGUUUUGUUUUAAUUGAUUGAUUGAUUUUACAGUUUUAAAUGCAUAACAAUACACUGGAGUUGGUAAGAUGAUUCAGUUAUUUUUUCUUGAUGCAUGUAUUGCUUGUUUUAUGUUAUUUACAGUUAAAUUGUGAAACUGAAAAUUAAAUAUAAAUGAAAAAUUGUUUGAUUAAGUAAAUAAAUGAAUGGUAGCCUUACUGCAUAUUCUGGGAGAUGGUGGACAGACCAGGUACAUAGGAAAUCCUACCGUGAAUGUUGCCUCAACCGGACGAGGUAUCGAGGAUUGGUAUUUUGGCGCUCAUACCGGACGAGGUAUUGAGGAAUGUUAUUUUUUGCAUUCAUACUGGACUAGGUAUGGAGAUGGCCGAUUAGUAAACAAAUAUUGAAUAGAAUUCACGCAUAAUAGAAACAUCCCUAUGGACCCCCAUAGAUACCGUAAGCAAAUAAAAAAUAAAGUUGUUGUUCUGUCCAAUUGAAAAUGAGAUUAUGAUAUUAUUUGCGUUGUUGUCUUUAUAGGUCGAUUUAAAAAUCCGAUACNNACCCUAAUUUAUUAUUUCGCUUCCGCAUUCAACUUAUAAUUUAUUUUUUUUUUUAAGUUGGGGCUGUUACAAAAAGAAUAAGAAUAACUUUAUUGAGAAAUGGUAGCCAAACUUCACCAUUGAAAUGAUAGUAAUAAAUACCCAAUAUCUAAUCUAUAAGUUACAUAAAAAUAAAAUUUUUAUUGAAUUUACACUACUCUUAAUUUUUUAUGUUUUGUUAUGUAACAAUUGCUUAUGCUGCUAAUAAUAAAAUAAAAUUAUACAUGAGAAAAUUUCAAAUUUAGGAACUUCAAAAUCAGUAAAAUUCCAUUCUCAAAGAUUAAGCAUCAAGUGAUUUGAUGGUAUUAAUAUUCUAAUGGUGAAAUUAAUUUGGGUUUACGUAAACAUCAUGGAAAAAUGUUAUGGGUUUCUAAUAGAGGAAAACAUAAUCAUUGGUCUUAUCCAUGCUAAUUACUGUUAAACCUUUUUUAUAAAAAAAAAAAAAAAAAAAAAAAAAUUUGAAAUACGCAGAGGAUUAGGUUGCCAUAUUAAGCUGGACCGGGCCCCACCCUCCAUAAUUUAAGCACCACCUCCAUUAUUUAAAUGACUUGAUAUGGUAAUGUACUGAAAGAAUAUCAUGCAUUGGGUUCGCGACACGUGUCACUGUAACAAUACUAUAGGCAUCUACCUAGGCUACUGUGGCAUUGCGUUGGACAGCAUUUUGAAGGAUAAAUACGGAAUUAAGUAAAAAUUUAUCAAUAAUAGUAAUUAUAAAAUUAUUAUUAAUUAAUCGUCUAAAGUAACUAAAAUUUUAAUUAAGCUGAUUCAAUGUAAAAGCUUAAUUAAUACAUGAUAUACGUCUAGUAAUUUAGAAAGCAAACAAGGAUUAUAUAUGACUUGAGACAGAUGGAAGAUUUUUUAACAAGGAAGAGAGAGAUUGAAGGUUUUAAAAGUAGUAAUUAGUAAAAUCUGAAUAAAAUUAUGACACUCUUAAUUUCAUUAAAAUAAAAUAAAAUAAAAUAAACAAAUAAAGUCAAAUUCUACAAAUAUAGUAAUUAGAUUUAUGUUGUUUUAUUCUAACAUGCAUACUAGAAGGUGGUAGAGAAGAAUUUUUAAUUAAAUUAUUUGAAUUUGAAUAAAAUUUUGAAUUAAACAACUAAUACAUAGAAAAAAACAUAAGUACUAACUAAUUGGAUCCUUGUUGACUUAAACUGUCAAGCCCAUUUUCUACCUAAAUGGGUUGGACAUCUGGAUUUAGUGGACCCAAUUCCUCGUUUUAAACACUUAAUGUUGGAUCCAAACCAUAAUAAUUUCCAAACUUACAAAUCUUUUUUUAUGUUAGUGAGAGCCAAGGAAGGAAACAUGUGUUGCAAUAGAAUUAAAGCAACAUCAUAUUUUUUAUUCAUUCAUUCAUUCAUUAUUAGUGCUGGUGACUGAAAAGCCUCGAAAGACUCUUAAACAAGUAAGAAAGGUAAAGAGUAAAAGUGAUGAUACAUGCGAUCAGAGCCUAGACAAGUCCUUAGGAUGAUGUAUAACAAUAUGAUUAUAAGCAUCUAAUGUAAGAAAAUCAUCAAGCACACCACCCGUGCAUUGCCUUGUGAAAAUCUUGCAUGCUUCUCUAUACAUCCCUCUCUUGAACUUCUCUUUCCCAACUUCUCUUUCAAUUCUAUUCAUCUCUUCUUCCACCACUCUUCCAAACAACUCCAGGUUCACUCUCACUCCCAAUCCAUCUCCGUCCAAUUCCACUCCAUAUUUUAUCCACUGCCAAUUCUGAACCCUGCUAAUCUCCGCUGUUGCUGCAUCUUCCAUCAGAUUGUAAAGAGGAACAGACCCUGUUCCUGUCAGCCAUGCCGCCAAAUACUGAAUUCCCACACGGGUAUUUAGCCGCAGACCUUCCAUUGUACGAACUCCUCUUGGCCUCUGUAUAAGAUCUUCUUCUGUCAACAUUGCUGCAUCUUCUCUUUUCAUGGUUUUGAUCUGGUUUUGAGCAUUACCCAUGUGGUUAUUGAAGGUUUGCAAGCAGGUUGAGAUGAGUCCAGGAUGAGCUGCCCAUGUUCCAUCAUGCCCUGCUUUCACCUCUCGCAAUUUGUCCUUGCUCACUAGCUCUAAUGCCGCCUCGUUUGCUACUGGAUCGUCUCUGACUGGAAUCUGAGCUGCCUGUAAUUCAAUAACUGUUAAAUACUUUUUUUUUUCUUGUGUAUAAAUUACAAUGUAUAUACCUAUAUAUAUAUAUAUAUAUAUAUAUAUAUAUGAUAUACCAUUCCACCCAUGGCAUGAACACCGCGUCUAUGGCAGGUUCUGAUGACGAGAUCAGAGUAACUUUUCAUCAAGUGUUGGUUCAUUCCAACCAGGACUCUGUCUGGCAAAAUGCGAUCUGGGUGAGCCUGAAAAGUUUUCACAUAGCUGAAAAUAUAAUCCCAUCUUCCACAGUUUAAACCCACCGAGUGAUCUCUUAGCUCGUAAAGAAUUUCAUCCAUUUGGAAAACUGCAGGUAAUGUUUCGAUUAGAACAGUGGCUCUGAUGCUUCCUCUUUCUAUUCCUGCCAUCUUUUCUGCUCUCUCAAACACACAAUUCCAGAUCUUCGCUUCCCUGCCAAAUCAACUAAUUCAUUAUAUUGAAUUACAACACCAUGAAAAUUAGCUCCUAAUUGUUAUUACCUUGAAUGCUCCAUUUUAGGAAGAUAGAAGAAGGGUCCAUAGCCAGCACCUUGUGUCUGCCGGAAUUUUGCAUAGUUGUGGUAAAAGUAAAGGCCAAAAUCUACAAGACAACCAGUUGCUGGUUCACCAUCAAUGAGAAUAUGAUACUCAGGAAGAUGCCAACCUCGAGGACGAACAAAUAGCUUUGCCGUCUGAUCAUUCAGCUUGUAUAUUCUGUUUCUAGCUUUAUCGUGGAAGGUUAUACUCCCAUCAACAGCAUCCUUUAAAUUAAUUUGUCCCCUAAUCAAGUUCUCCCAAGUUGGUGAGAGUGCAUCCUCGAAAUCCGCCUACACAGAAUUAACAAUAACACAUGGAUAUAUACAUAUACACAUAUAUAGUUCUGGGUGUGAAGAAAAUGUAUGGUUGCUCACCAUGAAAACUUUAGCUCCAGAAUUGAGUGCAUUGAUGACCAUUUUCCUUUCGGUAGGGCCUGUAAUCUCCACUUUUCGAUCAGCAACAGCAGGUGGAACUGGAGCACAAACCCAUUCUCGUUCCCUGAUAUACCUUGUGGCUGGAUCAAACCCUGGAACUGCACCUUCGUUGUACUUCUUCUUGGCCUCCCUGCGACACUCCAUUGCAUACUUGAUUUGGUUCCUGAAUUCCAUCUGUAAAUCCGCAACGAAUUGCAGAGCAUCAAUGGUAAGGAUCUUGGCAAACUCCGGAUCGAAUCGACCACGAAUAUCAACUCCAUCUGGAACAUCGUACAAGCUGAGAUUAUUCUUUCUGGACAUCAUUUUUGUAUGCACAGAGCUUCCAACCUCCAUUUUUGCCUUCUUUUGAACGACCCAAAACACUUGGCAAUGCAGCUGUUUAGAUACACACACACACACACACACAUAUAUAUAUAUAAUAUAUCUGAGUGCGGUGUAGUUUUUAUAUAUAUAUAACUUUUGGGUAGAUGAUAAGUAUAUAAGAUAGGAUAUGCAGAGAGAGUAUUAUCGGAACGGGGAAUGCGAGUGAUAAUGUGAUUUGUGACGUAGGUAGUACGAAUCAGAGGGAGAUGGUUUUGAAGUUUGUGCCUUUUUUCUUGGGGCGAGCGUUUUCGUUAGGAUAUGGUGGCUUCUGGAUUAAGUAUUUUUUAGAAAAAAAAAAAAAAAAAAAAAAAGCAAUCGUGAUUGGGCCGAAAAUUGGAGUACUUGAGUUUGGGCCAUAUUAUAUUAUAUGGGCCCGGCCCACUUAGCCUCCCAAUUCCAACCCUUGACUUUUUGAUGUGCUCAUUCUCAACUUCUAAUCAUAUUAAAAUUGUAAAAAAGUAUAAAAUAUAUAUUUUCACUUCAUAACUUAAAUGAAUUAUUAUUAUUAUUAGUAUGAGGAUGUGAAAAUGAAUUGGGCUUUUCAUGAUUUUUGAAAUGCAAUUAAACAUUUUUUGUUUACUUAUUUAAAAUAAAAAAUAAUAAUUCAAAAUUGCAUACUAAUCUAAGAAUUGAAGAGGCAAAAAAAUGAAAUGAAGAUGGGAGGUCCCACAAGACAUGCAUGCAUUUUUGUGGGUUUGUUACAUACAUUGUAAUUGUUUCAAGACGAUAUGAAUUGUUGAUUUUACAAAAAAAAAAAAAAAUUGACUUAUAAUAUGUUUUAUUAUCAUUUAUAUGUAUAUGUCCAUGACUCAUGAACCAGAUUUAUCCUAUCAAAUCUCAAAUGCAAUGUCACAACUAUACUACUCAAUUUGAUUUUACAAAAAAUAUAUGGAGAGAAAUGAGGGGAAAAGGCAAGAGGGAGAGAUUUGGAUUGUGAAUGUCACCGUUUUUUCAACAUGUAAAUCUCAAUUUGAUCUCCCAUUUGGAUUUAUAUAUAUAUAUUUGUGUUUGUGUUUGUGUUUGUGUUUUGUGUGUGUGUGUGUAUAUGUAUGUGGGUGUGGGGGUUCACAAUUCUUGUACCAUCUUCGAUGCCGUGUUACAUCGACAUUCUUGAGUGCUCAUAUCCAAUCACCCCCACUCUAUAUAUAACAACCCCCACAUUCUUUGAAAACCAAAUGAAUAAUACAACUAUAUAAAAUUAAAUCCUAUUUUUUUUUUAAGCAAAGGAGAUUUUAAUUUAUACACACUUGGAAAUCAAAAAAAACAAAAGUUUAUAAAAUAAUUUAUACACUCCUAACAAAUUUUUUUUUUUUUUUUUUUAAAGAAAAUCAAUAAUUGUUGUUGUAAUCAUUUUGUAUUUGUAGGUUUAUAAAUUUUUAUUUUUAAAAAAUAUCUUAACUUUUUUAUGAGUAAUUAAAUAUUUUAGACUUAUUUGUUGAAUAAACUAUUGACAAGCUUAUAAUUUUGUUUGAUGGUAUUAUGAGUUUAAAAAAAAAAAAAAGAAAAUUGAAGUUUGUCUUUUAAAAAUUGGUGUAAAUAAAAUUAACAUGUUAUUUUUGUAAAGUAUUUUAUAUAAUAUUAUUAAAAUAUUUAUAUUUGAUAAAAUUAUAUUUAAAAAAUAAAACAAUAAUAUAUUUAUUUCGAUAAAUCAAUCUUGUUAUAAAUUUUCCAAAAUAAUCAAAUUGAUUUUCUAAUUGAAAAAGCAAUAUAUAUAUCCAUUCAUUCCAUGAUUAAUACACAUUCAUGGUAAGGCAAUUUUUUUAUUGAAAAAGUGUAUAAAUACAAUUUUUUAUAGAGAGAUUGAAGUGGUAUUUGUAAAGAUAAUAAACAAAUGAGUAAAAAUAUAAUUAAUUAUUUAUAAUGCUUCAUCAAGGGAAGCACGGAACAUCUUAUUAAUUUAAUUAAUGAUAAGAUUAAAUUUAAGCAUGAUUACGGAUUUAAAGGAGAAGAGAUCAGACUAAUUCCAAGGUUAAUAUUUUUAAUGAGUUUGGAUUUUGAUAUACCAGAGAAUAUGAUGUCUCAAUAAUCGUAACAUUUUAUUGCCUUUGUUGACAGAGACAGAUUACUACUAGGCUCUAUUAAAUAUAUUAAAACAUUAUUCAUGCCUUUCCGCAUAUAUAUAUAUAUAUAUAUAUACACAUAUACAUAUAUGACUCUGUGUAUAACGUGUUUGUUGUCUUCAUUUGUUUGUACUUAUUUGAACAUUAGUGCUUUCAAGUCUUGUUUAAUAAUUACUGGGUUUUUUUUUUUUUUUAACUUCUCCAUGAUUAUAUUAAGAUUAAUUACAGUAUAUAAAUGAUUAAGAAAUUUCACUAUUAAAUUUUAUAUACGAGCUUAAAAAUUUAUAUUAGUGACUUUUAUUUCAAGAUAUAAGUGAUUAUUGUGGGUAAAAGUAGGUUAGUAUGCUUUGAUACAUAAAGUUAAUUAAUUAAAUUAUACCACUAAAAAGAAGGAUACGUAUGAAUUCUUCAAAUCUAUUUAUAUUUUUUUUAAGUAUUUAAUAAAUUUUCAUGCAUUCAUUAUUAUUAUAAAUAAGUUAUUUUAUAAUUUAUGACCUCUUUUUUAUGGAUUCAAUUAUUUGUAAAAAUUAAAAGAGUAAUGCACAUACGUAGUUGAUAGACAUAGUUAUUGUACAUAUAUGUGUUAUAUUUAUUUUUAUAUACUUAUCAUUGCAUUUAAAUAAUUAUUAGUUACUCUAUUUUAAAUUUAUUGAUGCUGACAAUUCAAUUGUUAUUUGUUAAUAUUAACAAUUCAAUUAUUAUUUUUUAAGAUUUAAGUUGAAUUUUUAGAAACAAUUAUUUACUACUUCUAUUUUUGUAUACAAAAUAUAAUAUCCGGUUCCAGAAUUUGGUCCGAUAUUAAUUUCAACAGUAAAAAAAUGUAUAAAAAUUUAUUUUUAAAAUUAAUAAAUUUUAAUUUAAUGUGAAAUUAUGGAGAAAAAAAAUAGGUUAAAUAUGAAAUUGAAAAAUAAUUUUGAAAAAAAAUAUGUGAAAAUUUGGGUUCGGAUAAUGUUUUUUUAAAAAAAAAAAUCGAAAACAAAUGGGUAGAAUACAAUUAAGAAAAAUUUUACCACGUAUGACCGCCCAGUCAGCAAUCUCAACGAAUCGAAGCGCGCCGCGUGGCAAGGCACGCUGACUCGGUGCCACGCAGAAGGCUACGUUGGCGAUCUGCGUGCCCCGCGAUCGAACGACCCGGAAGUGUUCCUUCGCGCAUGGACUAUCCAGAUCCGUUCCCUCCUCAAGAACGAUCAGACGGUCGCGAUCAAACGCAAUGAACAGUCCAUAUUUGUUCAUUUGUUAAAUACGAUCGAAUAGUUGAGAUCAAAUUGCGAUGAACAGUUCAGAUUACGCAAGACUGGUAUAAAUAUUUCGCAUCACACUGAACCAAACCCUAGCCGCUCGCCUCCCGUCGGAGAGAAAAUCAGUCGCCAAAGAAAGGAGCCNNNNNNNNNNNNNNNNNNNNNNNNNNNNNNNNNNNNNNNNNNNNNNNNNNNNNNNNNNNNNNNNNNNNNNNNNNNNNNNNNNNNNNNNNNNNNNNNNNNNNNNNNNNNNNNNNNNNNNNNNNNNNNNNNNNNNNNNNNNNNNNNNNUUAUUAUCUGUUAUGGAAUUGAAGCUUAAUAAUCGAUAUUUUGUAUAAUUUAGAAAACUUUGAGAAUAAUUAUAGGUUACUAAUAUAGCUGAAACCGAUUAGUUAUUUAUUUGUUUGUCUUGUGUAACUGAUUGUUUGCUUUUACAGCUUUAAGUACAUGAGAAUAAACUGGAAUGAUUAAAUGAUUCAGUUGUGCUUCAUUGAUGUAUAUUUACUGACUGUCUUGCGUGAUUUACGGUUAAUUUAUAAAAUUAAAAAUUAAUAUGUAAACGAAAAAUUAAUUAGUUAUGUGAAUUAAUGAAUGAUUGUCUUACUGGAUAUCUUGAAAUAUGGUGGAUUGACCGGGUACAUACGGAACGCUACCAGAAAUAUUGUUUCGUACUGGAUAGGAUAUUGAGGAAUGGUAUUUUUGUCACUCAUAUCGGACGGGGUAUGCGGACGGCCCGAUUCACCUCAUACCGGACGGGAUAUUGAGGAAUUGUAUUUUUGGCGCUCGUAUCGGACGGAGUAUGGGAACGGUCGAUUAGUUGACAAUGUUGGAUAUUAAUUCACGCGUAGUAAGACAUCCUUAUAGACCCCCAGGAGAAUAUCAGUAGGCAGAUAAAAAAAAAGUUGUUGUUCUUGCUCACUUAAAUAUGAUAUUAUAAUGUUAUUUAAGUUAUUAUCUCUAUAGGUCGAUUUUAAAAAUCUCGCAACGGUAAAUAUAUGCAAUAAAUAGUUUUCCUUAUGAUAAAUGAAUUUACCUAAAUCAAAAGCUCCAUUUGUUGUUUUUAUGAUUGUUACAAACUUCCAGUUUCUGUAUUGGUGACUAGUGUGAUGUUCUUAUUGGGUUAGUGUAGCUCACCAUUUCAUUAAUUAUUUCAAAUUAAGAAGACCAAUACCCAUAUUCCGAUCAACAAGAUGAUUGUUAAUAGUUUACUACCCGAACUCCUUUCAAAAGCUAGUGAAAAUCGUUCUAAAAUGUUCAUUAUAUUGUUUUUUGUUUUUUUUUUUUUUCGUUUGUUCUUUUAGAAUGGAGAUUCUCGUAAUCCGAUUGAGCAUUCUAAAUUAUUGUGUAAGGAAUGUAAAAUCUAAACUUUAUUAUUUCACUUCCGCACUUAAUUUACGAUUUUUUUUCAUUUUAAGAUUGGGUUCUUUGCAACAAAAAAAAAAUGUGUUAUAAUUAAUGCGGAAGCGUCAUAUAAUUAGUAAAUAUAUUUAUAAUAAGUUUGUAAUUAACUAUUAAUUAAUUCAAUAUAUAAUAAUAAUAAUAAAUUACAUAUUAAAACCAUGAAGUAAUUAGGGUAUAAAUAAAAACUAAUUUGCAGGUUAUACCUGGGGAGGAAGUAUAUUCUCCUCCAAAAUCCACUCAGCCCCGUCUUGAUAUAUAACUUACAAAGGAAAGAUUAAGAUUAAGAUUAGCUACCUCCCUACAUCUCUUCACACCAAUUAAUUAUUAUAAUAUUCAUCACUCAUGUUAUUAGUAAAUCUUUUUAAUAAGAAAUCUUGAUGGGAUAUUCACUGUAGAAAUUUUUAAUUACACAAUUAAGAAACCAUGUCCGCAAUGCAUACUUUUAAGACAUGAUAAUAACUUUUUAGAGUUGGUAGGGGAAAAACGAUACAAAUCUCAUUCAAUCAUAUUUUUUUUAUAACUUUCAAUUUUCAACUUUCUAAAUUAUUAUUAUUAUUUUUUUAUACAUCAACAAUUAUUAUUUAAAAAUAAUAAUUAAUUAAUUAAUUGUAAAAUUAAAUUAAAUUGAGUUCGUUAAAAAAACACAAGUUGAAAUAAAUAAAGAUACGAAAAUCCAAACAAGGAAGAGUGUUUACGAUAAGCAUAAAAACGGAGCAAUGACGUCAAACCCCCGUAACGUUCCAUCUCCACCUAACAACUUGAACUUGAGACGUAACCGUCCAAACCGAUCUGGCGAGGCCCACGUGUCGCUCCAAUCGAGCUUAAUGACACGUGGCGAACAGCUAUUCUUCCCGACCUUACAAGUCCGUAAAAAAAAAAAAAAGAGUCUAUAAACUGGAUACAAUACCGAUUUCAAAUCCGCCAAAUAAAAUAAUUAUAAAAAAAUAAGAAAACAAUAGGAUAAUGUGGCUGGGCAGGUGGUGCGGUGAACGGCAGGUGAGGUUAACAAUUAAAAAAAAUAAUAUAAGGCAUAACAAAAUAUCGGUCUGCGGGUUAGGGAUCAAGAGAGAAGAGAUUAAGGGAGAGAGGAGGCACAGAAAGCGUGACACCACCACCCCCCCAGCACCAGGAUUAGUGUAAACUAAACAGGGGACAAAUUGUGGGACCCACUUCCCGAAUAUUAAACUUGGCUCUUAAUUUUAAAAAUAAAAGAAUUAGGAAAACCCUUUUAAAUUAAAACUAUUUCUAAUUUCCAUCAUACCGACGCUGAUGUUUGUAUCUUCUAAUUUACUCUAUUUUAUAUUUAUUUAUUUUUAAAAUAUCUUCUUUAACUAUUUAAGAAAAAAACCCACUUUCAUUAUUUUGUAUUGCUUUGUUAUUUAUAAUCUUACAAAAUUUUAUGAUAGCAUUUUCUACUUAAUUUAUUGUUAUAUUAUUUAACACAAUACUUGAUAAAAAUUCAAACCUUCAUAAUAUAUUUUCGCUAAUGGUAUAAUUUAUUUUUAAGUAAUGAAGAACAUAAUCACAAACGUUAUCGGCCUACUUAAUUUAUUUAAUUAAACAAUGGAAAAUUUAUGUUAAUUAAUUCCGUGGAACCACAAAAAAAUUAUUUUUUUUAAAUCUUAUUUUUGUUACAAGUUUCAAAGAUUAUAAGUUAUUUGAGAUGAAUGUCAAUAAUAUACUUCUCAUUUUACGCCUCCAUUUAAAGUUUUAUAUAUAACUUCUUACUAGUUAUGAUCACUUUUUCAAAAAAAUAUGUCAUAUAUGUAAAGUUUUACAUAAACUUAAAUAAACAACUCGAACAUGGUUUAUUAUCUUUAUCGUCAAUCUAGUUCAUAUAAAAAUGCAUUUAUUAUCCAUUAAACUAGUUAGGUAUGGAUUCGCUUACACAAGAAUAAUUUAUAAAGCCUCAGUGAUGUUAAUAAAUUUCUUAAUCGACAAUUUGAGAAAAAAAGAACUUAACAUUCUUAGUUAUCUUGGAUCUUCAGGUUUCAUAUGGUCAAUAUAUAUACAACUAUCAUAGAUCAAGUAUGUUAAUGACAUUAUUUUUGUUUAUUUUAAGCUAACAUUAAAUUGAUACUUCCACAUUCACCUAUUACUAGUAGUAUUCUUAUUAAUCAUACACUAUACAGUUAAUUGGUGAGAAGUCUAAUAUAUCUUAUAAUCAUUUGUCACGAUAUUACUUCACAUUGUCAAUUAGUUCAUGAUUGCUCAUUAUAAGACCAUUUUAUAACUAUUUUUACGCUUUUCUAUAUGCUAUGAGACUUUUAUUUCAAUGAUUUCUCUCAUGAAACUCUUUACAUCUUGUUUUUGUAUCUUAUUCUUAUGUUGAUUAGUAUAGUGACUUAACUGGCUACAAAUUGAUUAUUGAUUACCAUUUUUUUUAAAAAAAAUUUCUUUAUUUUCUGGUGAAAAUAAUAAGUAAUAUAGUUUUUGCUCUCUUAUAAAAGUUGAAAAUCAAGCAUCAUUUGAUAUUAUUUCAAAACUUAUGUAAUUAUGUUGGCUACUGUAACACCCCCAAAUUUGAGAUGUAAUAAUUUAAUUUUGAGUCGACAACACUUUCGUUUCAUUUAAAUUCGUGAAUUUCUACUCAUUUAUCUCAUUUUAUUUUAUAUUAUAUCGUGGAAUGAGUAAAUAAAAAUUAAUUUAUCACUAAAUUAUAAAGAAAUAAUUAAAGGAUUAAUUUUGGACAUUUUUUAAAAUAAAUUCAAAGGCCUGGACACAAUUAUAAUAUAGUAGCGACCUAUUUGAAAAGAAAAUCAGAAAACAAUGAUCAACUCGAAAAAAACGAAAGAAACGGGCCACGUAGAUGCCAAGUUAGCAGUUCAACGAAUCGCUACAAGCCGCGUGGCAGCUACGUCAACAUGGGCUCCACACAAGAAGCCCACGCUGGCAAUUUGUGUGCCAGGCUGAUCGGGCAACUCGGGGAUACUCCCACGCGCACGAACGACCAAGAUCAACUUUCUAAACAGACUCGAUACGUGCCUUCACGUUCUCCAGAUCGAAUGGCCCAGAUGAAUUCCCUAAACAAGCACACUCGGACGGCCCGCGUGCCUCCAUAUCUCCUAGGUUGAACGACCAAAAUCAAUCGAAGAGAGAUAUUUAAACCUAUCUUCAGUCGACUCCCAAACCCUAACCAAUAUCUUGAUCGGAUAAGAAGAAUAAGGGUGGCUGGAGGAGAGGCUCAAUCGCUGGAGGGAAUAUGGCACCACCGCGCCGGAAACCAAUAAGCAUAAUUUUUCUUCCUGUUCUUCUGGUUUUUCCAUCCUAAGCUAUUUAAACCAUUCCCGAUGCAGAAAAACCAAGAAAAAUCGUAACCCAAGAAAGAGAGACGGUGGAGCUUGGCUCUGUCGCCACCCCAGAGAUCGAAAAUCGCCCGGUAAGGCAAAAAUUUCUCUAUUUUCUCCAUAAAACACCCUCCUUUAUACGAUUUACACUAAUUUCCAUUAGGAACUCACCAGAAUCGGUUUGAUCGAGAGGGAGAAACAUUAGAGAAGGAGAACCAAGCGGUGGAGCUCGGCGGCACCGCCACGACAGAACCUUAACCCGACCCAGGUGAGUUUUUUUCUACCUUUUUCACCAUCCCCUACGUAUUUUGACGUCGUUUUGAUAUCUGUUUCCAAAUUUUACUAGAAAAUCCAAGAAAUCCGAUAGUCGAGAACCGCCACUAACUGUAGUUAAAAAAUGCAGUAUUUUAGAUUUCGACCUACUAUAAGAAUCUCUCAACAUUUUUCCUGUAACAGUAAAUUAAAGCUAAAACGAUAAUAACGGUUAAUUUUAACAGUUUGUGAUUCAUUGAUGAUUAAAUANNNNNNNNNNNNNNNNNNNNNNNNNNNNNNNNNNNNNNNNNNNNNNNNNNNNNNNNNNNNNNNNNNNNNNNNNNNNNNNNNNNNNNNNNNNNNNNNNNNNNNNNNNNNNNNNNNNNNNNNNNNNNNNNNNNNNNNNNNNNNNNNNNNNNNNNNNNNNNNNNNNNNNNNNNNNNNNNNNNNNNNNNNNNNNNNNNNNNNNNNNNNNNNNNNNNNNNNNNNNNNNNNNNNNNNNNNNNNNNNNNNNNNNNNNNNNNNNNNNNNNNNNNNNNNNNNNNNNNNNNNNNNNNNNNNNNNNNNNNNNNNNNNNNNNNNNNNNNNNNNNNNNNNNNNNNNNNNNNNNNNNNNNNNNNNNNNNNNNNNNNNNNNNNNNNNNNNNNNNNNNNNNNNNNNNNNNNNNNNNNNNNNNNNNNNNNNNNNNNNNNNNNNNNNNNNNNNNNNNNNNNNNNNNNNNNNNNNNNNNNNNNNNNNNNNNNNNNNNNNNNNNNNNNNNNNNNNNNNNNNNNNNNNNNNNNNNNNNNNNNNNNNNNNNNNNNNNNNNNNNNNNNNNNNNNNNNNNNNNNNNNNNNNNNNNNNNNNUUUUUCUUACGAAAUUAUUUAAUUAAAAUAAUUUAUUUAUUUAUUUUAGUCUUAUUUUAUUAAAUUUUUGAGGAAAAAAAAAGAAUUAGGGACGAGAUUGAAAAUAAUUUUAGAAAAAAUGGUGAAAAUUUAGUUCGGGGGUCUUUUUGAAAAAAAAAUUAGAAACAAGGGGUUAAAGUGUAAAAAUAAAAAAUUUAGCCAUGUUGGACGACCUAGUCAGCAGCCCUGACGAAUCAGAGCAUGCAUUGUGUCGAAACACGCUGAUGUCAGAGCAACGCAGGACACCAUGCGGGUGAUCUAUGUGCCCAGCGAUCUAACGACCUAAGUUUGAUCCCGCGCGCGUGAACGGUUCAGAUUCAUUCCAUCUUUAGAUAUGAUCAAACGGACAAGAUCAAUCGUGAUGAAUGGCUCAUAUCGACGCAUGAUGGGUAUAAAUACCUCGCGUUAUAAGGGAACCCAAAUUCUAGCCGCCAGCCCUCACCAGAUAAGAAGGUUGACCGCUGACUGGCGCCGCACCGAAGCCAUCGCCAACCGUCAAAAAAGAUAAAAAAAAUUCAUACACACUCGAAAUUUGAUUAUGAGCAUCCUUGUUUCCAUAUCGGAGCAAGAGGGACGGCGGGUAAGUAAAAAAUUAUGGACAAAGUCCGACGGAGUUGCCAUAGCUAAAACAAAAAAAUCCUUCCGAUGAACCCUUUUUUGCUUCCCGUUUCACGCUAUUUCUUGAUCAUUUUGUUCACCGUCUUUUUCUGUGUAGGUUAGUAAAAGAAGGAGCCCCAGCCGUGAAGGAGAACCGGUGGAGCCACCGCACUUGGAGGCCCCCUGCUGGUAGGUUCGAUUUUUUAUGAUUUUUCGGCUAACCGAAGUCCUCUAACUUAUUUUCCUACAAAGAUACAUUUAAAACCAGCCAAAAUCGGGUAAAACUGGCUAAGCCGAGGCAAACUAUCACUAUCGGCGGCGGCGCUGUAUCGGAACUCCAAAAUUGCCAAAGAGAGUUUUGGACAAUUUUGGAUUUUUGAGAUAUUUUUAGAUACAUGGCGAGUGUUUUGAAUUUCGCAAAAAAAAAUUCAGAAAACUCAGCACCUGUUAGGAGGCAUAGUAGACAACGUGACGUCUCGAAAUACCAAUUCAGGUAAGGAUCCCUCACUCUAUUCUCCGUUACGAUAAAUUAAGGCUUAAUGAUGUAUAAUUUUUGUAUUUUUAUAAAAAGUUAGAAAAUUAUAAAAAUAAUUACAAGUCACUAGUAGAGCCGAAACUACUUAGUUCACAAUUGUUCUGAUUUCUUAUUUAUUUUUCUGUACUAUCUUACUUGUUUGUUAUCUUAUUGUGCAUGUUCUUAAUUUAUAGUUUUAAUUGUCUUAUUGAUUUAUCUGGUUUAUUCGAUUAUCUGAUUACUCAAUCCCUUGUUAUGAUAAACUAUAUCGUCUACAAAAAUGUCGUUUAACUAAUAUAUAAAUAUAAUAUAAGAUAUUGGUAUGCGUUUGUUGGUUAUUUUGUUGAUGUGAAUCUUUAUAUAAAAGACUUACUAGGUACCCAAGAAAAAAGGGCAAAUGAGCCCAUUACAUAGGGAAACCUACCGUGAACGUUACAUCAGUCGAACGGGGCUGGAAAGUCCCUUACUAUAAAGGUUUAACAGAUAUGGUUCACCCUCAUACCGAACCGGGUAUCGAAGCAAUAAAGUAUUUGGUGCUCAUUACCGAAUGGGGUAUGGGGACGGCCGAUUAAUUUUGAAAAUUAGAUAUUAGGUUUAUGAGUAGGAAGACAUCCCUAUGGACCCAUAAGGGUACCAGAAAGCAAGUAAGAACGAAAAAUUAUUGUCUCUUAUUCUUUUAUGUGUGAAAAUAAAAAGUAGUAUGGAUAUGAGUGUUUAUCAGUUUUUAAAAAAAAACUCGUAACGGUAAGUAUCAAAUAAGUAUCUUUAAGUUAAAUGUAUUUGAUUAAAGCAAUGGUUCCAUUAAUUAUUUUUCUAAUUUCUACAAAUCUUUAAUUUUCUGUAUCCAUAAUUAAUGUAAUAUUUUUACUGGACUAAUGUAACUCAACAUUUCAUUAACCAUUUCAGAUCAAGAAGAC